Long non-coding RNA from Pteropus alecto (black flying fox), 853 nucleotides. RefSeq lists it as uncharacterized. The transcript has 3 exons. The record is from RefSeq and is a predicted model, not a curated record. NCBI's taxonomy places the organism in Eukaryota, Metazoa, Chordata, Mammalia, Chiroptera, Pteropodidae.
CCUGGAACAAUUUCUUUGGCUUCUAGGUCACCUUCUCCUUUGCUGGACUCACUGAUGCCCACAGGCUCUAUGUCACUCCCAACUAAGCACAACCAGUAUCCCUUGGAGACUGUUAGACUGUGGACUCUCAAGCCCUCCUCCAGGCCUGCUAAAUCAGAAUCUUCAGUUUCACAAGAUACCCAGCCUCAUGAGCUGCUUCUGUGACAGAUGCAAGCACCAAUCCCGGAAGAAAUUUGGGGGUUGCGCUACCUCAAAGUGGCAAUGUCUGAGAACUAUUAUUGCGAUGAUGACUUCUGGAAAUAACUCAAGAGAUAGCCAAAGGAGACUCUGAAAGCUGGUAAGAAGACCGCAAUAAGGGGUCCCCAAACAGGAGAAAGAGCACAACUGCAAGGCAUUUUGCAGGCCCUUCCCAACAGAAGAAGGUAACCCAGACUCAGUAUUUCCUGACCCCAAACCAAGCAAUACAAGGCAGCCUAGGUAGGUUCGUUCCUCCCUUAGAUUGAAAGGAAAUCCCUCUGAAAUCAGCCAAACACCAUCAGCAAAGGGAAUAGAGCUAGAGAUCCUGCUAACAAUAAGCAGCCAAGAAGUACUCUCCCUGCCAGGUGGGAGACUACCUUCCCCCAAAUACCAAGCUAGUAAGAGGAACUGGCAAGGGACCUCACCACAAGUAGUCUAACUGGAAAGGCUUUUUCACCCUGUGGGCCCUGCCCAGAGAUACCACAGCAGCUGGGGGUACCUGUAGGAGGAGUCUGCUACAACAGUGCCUGACUAAGAAGCUUCUCCACCUUCAUCUGUCUGAGAUUCCCCUUCCCCACUGAGAGACGUUGGGACAGUUAUCAAUGUCAGGAAUGAA